GUAACAAGUAUCUAACAGACUUUAGUGUCCUAAUACUAAUAUUUAAUGAGAUCAAAUAUUUUACUGUAAAUAAUAUGUUGUGCAUUAAUCUACCUGAUUAUAGGUGUCAAAGUCACAUUAAUUAUUUAAAUUUGAUAUUCGUAAACGUUGUUUGAGUUUCAUAAUUAUAAUGUCAUUAUAAUAGUAUUUGUUUGAGUUUAACGGACGUUUAUAAUCUAAUGUUUGCAAAAAUAUAGUAAAAUAUACUAACUUGCUUUUACAGAUAAAAUAGAUCAUGAUAACAUCUUUUGAAAGAAACUUUCAUAAUAAUAUCCUUGAUAUAUCUCACAUAAUUGAUUAUUGGACACAUUAUUACCGAAAAAAAAAUGGAUAACAUGAAUUAAAUUGGGGGUAUGAGUUUGAUAACUUGCUUUUAUUGAUAUAACAAUCAUUAUAAUAUCUUUUGAAAAGAAACUAUUAUAAUAAUUCUCUUGAGACAUCUCAUGUAAUUGAUUAUUGGACACAUUAUUACCAACAAAAAAAUGGAUAACAUGUAUUAGAGUUGCGGGCAUGAAUUCUAAGAUGGAUUAAGAGCAAAUCACUUGAGAUUGUCGUCGCUAUCAAGGACAAAGAAUCUUCAAAAUGAAAUAAGAGAGAACUAUAAAAAGGAACAAGAAGUUUCAAGCUACUAGGAGAGCUAGAGCUAAAAAGUGUAAAAGGAUGAAUGAGAGAUAAGAAAUGUCACAAGGAAGUCCCAGUUGAAGUGAAAAUCAGUAAGAUUAGGAGAAAGAUUGGUUGUGCCAAGGUCAAAACAAGAAAGAUGCAUAAAGGGGCAAGAAAAACUAAAGAAUGUGAUGAAGAAAAUAACUAGAUCAUGAGAAAAAAUUAGGCAAAAGACUUGAGUAGUCAAGCAUGACAAGAUCAAAGUGAUUGUCAAUUAGAAGAAAAAAGAUGAGAAAUGCCAAAGGAAAGAUGUUUAGAAAUCUAAAAGGGACAUGAAGUCGAGAUUGUUGAAGAUAACAAUCACCAAUAUUUCUUGGAGGUGGAAAAACACUCUUGGAGAAUCCAAGGCAAGAUGAUGAAGAAAGGAAAGAAAUUACUUGCUACUAAACUAUGAACAAGAAUUGUAAACGUCAAACAUAAGGAAGGUUGGAAAUGCUAAUCAUAAGAUAAACAACUGUGAAACGAAAUAUAUGAUUUAGAGCAAUUCAAAUUCAUACAAAAGUCCAUUGAAGACCAUGCGAUAACCAUGAUUUAGUUUCUAUUUAACCCUUCACCUUUAACUGUGCUUUAGAGUCCAGAAUAGUCCAUGUUCUCUCAUUUAUUUUGCUUAGGGAUAGCAAAUGACACAUCAUCAUUUUUUUUGUUUAAAAAACAGUGAAGCCAUCCAACGUAAAAAUCAAAUAGUACAUGAAAAAAGCACAAAAUAGUCUGAACUUCAUUUCCACACUACAAGCAACACAUUAGUUUUCUACUUUAAGCAACACUAAAACAGUUUCUAAUAUGAAGUCGAAAACAUUAAGUGCAAAAGCCAAGAACGGUUACUAUUUUCCCCAUUUAUUUCAUUCCAAAAAACAUUAUUUUCUGAUUUAAACAGCACAAGAAAGUCCUCAUUGUUUACAUCAGAAUUGUUAACUUAAAACAGUCCAUGUGUUCUCAUUUAUUCUAUUUUCCAAAUAGCAAGUAGUAGACCAAUUUCUGGUUCAACUAAUACCAUACAGCCCUAAAUGCGAUGACUAAACAGUAGGUACAAAAGCCUAAAGUAGUUCCAUUUAUUUCUUUCCUACAAAACAAGUUACACAUUUGCUUUCUAUCUUAAACAACACCAAACAUAUUGCACUAGGAGGUAGAUUCCUAAGCUGAAAACAGUAUGUAAUUAUAGACCUACUAGGGAAAAAAGUUUCAAAAAACAAGCUGCAGAAAAACUCAUGUGAAUUACAUCCAAAGCAAUAAGACAAACCCAGAGAUAAAACAUAUCAAAUUCAAAACAUCAAAACAGUUUAGUGGCUUCAAGGGAAUGGUUAGAACUGGCCAUAAAGCCAAAAUAUAUUUAAAACAUGAGGAUAAACACAAACGCAAACUUGAAACAUUUACAGUUGAAGGAGGAAACAAUUUGAGGUAUAAGGAACUUUAAAUAAUUUAAAAGGAAACACAACCAAAUUGGAAGAAUAUUGUAAAGCCACCAGAAAUGUCAAAACCAGAAAAUAGGUUGCAAAUGCUUUAAGAAAACUAUAACAUGAUUUCGAAAACAAGAUAAAUGCUAGCUAAUUUAAGGACUUAAUACCUCUUUACAAAGAGUUUUAGAAGCAAAACUGAUGAGCAAAACAAAAACAAGCACGACAGACCUAGGGUUCCAGAACAGACUUGGGUGACCCUGCAAGUGGUCCAUCUCAAACUUAAUUACUGCCUGGAAAAUAAAUUAAGAAACUAAAAAAAACUAAUUGGAAAAUGUUCCAAAAAAUAUAUCAAAUUUUAAAUAGAAAAGAUACUACAAAUUUGAAAGAAGAAUUUAGAUAAAAGAUGAAAGAUUGUACUUCAACCAUCUUUAGACUCUAUGCUGGAUAAUUGGCAAGAAUGACCAUGUCCUAGGUUGAGCCUCAAAAUCACAAACCUCGACGCGAAAAAUAGGUAUGGAUAUGUGAAAUGGGGCUCAAAGAAAGAAAUAAUUGUAAUAGAAUUAGGCACUUAGUAAUAUCCUAAAUAAAAUCUUUCAAUUAUCCUGAAGAAAACCACAUCAUGCAUCUGAUUCUAAGAAACUCUCACUACUUUUAAUACAUAACUAAAUCAUCCUUUGGAAAAUGCAUAUGCUGGAAUUGUGAAGUUAACGGGCAAAAUGAGGCCUUGCCAUAGCCAUCAUUGGUCCCUUCGUUAGGCUGUUAACAAAAAUGAAGGAUCCCAAGCUAGGUGGUCCAUUUAGGAUUCCCUCAAGCCCAUGAUUUAAACCAACAAUCACGAGAUCAACUGAAACCUAAGUAUUAACAGUUUGAUACACCAAAUCAACAUCUCCAUUAUAUUCAUCAUUCAAAUAUGAAUAUUAAACUCAUUGAGAUCAUGAACACAUUCACUCGGAGCUUGUUUUUGUAUCAAAGAAAAAAAAACAGGCUAUUAGCAACAAAAUACAGCCAUAGAAUUUCACUCAAGAUCGUUUCAUUCCCCAUAUGCAUUAAAGAAGAGAUACACAAUCCUAGCGUUCUUUCUCUAACAUUGAAAAACAAUACAAUGAAGCUUACAGGAAAUUAAUCAUAGGGUUUUGCAGAAACUUAACCAAAUGGACUCAGAUUGUAAUCCUUGAGGCAUCCUCCCCCUCUCUCCUCAGCCUUGAACACCUUUGGUUAACGUCCUCUGCUUCCCUGGAGACAUGCUCACUUAGUAGCAACAAGAGCUUUGAGCUACAAGACUUUCCUCCUCCAAGUAAAGAUUUCAUCCUUUUCUUCUCUCACCUCCACUUUCCUCACGCAGCUUCAGCUUCCCACAUUAUCUGUGCUCCGUUAUCUUUUCUCCUAUGCUUUCAAGCCCCUGCAACCUCGAAGAAAACUCGCCAUUUCAACCUUCUGAUGUCUUCCCAUUUAGGUGAAAGCCCCAACACGUAACGAUGCUCCUCUUUCUGCUUCUAUCUUUUCUUCUUCGAUAAAAACGCAUCCUGAAACUGGGUCCUGUAUCUUUGUUCAUUUCAUUCUUGACUUGUCAACAUCGUCAUUUGCUCCUCUUCCAUUUUGUGUAAAACCGAGCCCUAGGCUUCCCUCUUUACGACUGCAUUGAAGGAGAAGAAAGGAACCAAAAGGCUCAAAACGAUGCAUUUGAAGGUUGGGCAGGCCUUUCCCAUUUUUCUUCUUCAUUUCUUUUUCUUUUU
RNAcentral lists this long non-coding RNA (3829 nucleotides) under Carica papaya (papaya). RNAcentral's name for it is "long non-coding RNA (CPAP_LNC005504)". The record is from RNAcentral. Lineage: Eukaryota; Viridiplantae; Streptophyta; Magnoliopsida; Brassicales; Caricaceae.